This 253-nucleotide ribosomal RNA is filed under the name uncultured bacterium. RNAcentral describes it as "partial 16S ribosomal RNA". It matches the Rfam family "Bacterial small subunit ribosomal RNA", at positions 524 to 776 of the family's 1533-position model. The record is from RNAcentral.
UACGGGGGGGGCAAGCGUUGUUCGGAAUUAUUGGGCGUAAAGGGCGCGUAGGCGGUGCGGUAAGUCACCUGUGAAACCUCUAGGCUUAACCUAGAGCCUGCAGGCGAAACUGCCGUGCUUGAGGGUGGGAGAGGUGCGUGGAAUUCCCGGUGUAGCGGUGAAAUGCGUAGAGAUCGGGUGGAACACCAGGGGCGAAGGCGGCAUCCUGGCCCAGAACUGACGCUGAGGCGCGAGAGCGUGGGGAGCGAACCGG